CCCAUCUUGAUGGGAGAACCGGGCAAACCCGGUGCCGAAGGAGCAACCGCCCCGGAAACUCUCAGGCCCAAGGACCGUCAGGAUACG
Molecule: non-coding RNA, 87 nt
Filed under: Pseudoprimorskyibacter insulae
Lineage: Bacteria; Pseudomonadati; Pseudomonadota; Alphaproteobacteria; Rhodobacterales; Paracoccaceae
Description: Glycine riboswitch aptamer
Rfam family: Glycine riboswitch aptamer
About the family: This family represents the bacterial glycine riboswitch. Glycine riboswitches usually consist of two metabolite-binding aptamers domains with similar structures in tandem.
Source: Rfam by way of RNAcentral